This 254-nucleotide ribosomal RNA is filed under the name uncultured bacterium. Its description in RNAcentral is "partial 16S ribosomal RNA". It matches the Rfam family "Bacterial small subunit ribosomal RNA", at positions 524 to 776 of the family's 1533-position model. The record is from RNAcentral.
UACGAAGGGGGCUAGCGUUGCUCGGAAUCACUGGGCGUAAAGGGCGCGUAGGUGGUGGCUUAAGCGUGCGGUGAAAGCUCGGGGCUCAACCCCGAGUCGGCCGUGCGAACUGGGCUCACUGGAGCAUAGUAGAGGCAGGUGGAAUUCCGGGUGUAGCGGUGGAAUGCGCAGAUAUCAGGAAGAACACCCGUGGCUAAGGCGGCUCUCUAGUACGGUACUGACGCUGAGACGCGAAAGCGUGGGGAGCGAACAGG